RNAcentral lists this long non-coding RNA (352 nucleotides) under Malus domestica (apple). RNAcentral's name for it is "long non-coding RNA (MDOM_LNC008319)". The record is from RNAcentral. Lineage: Eukaryota; Viridiplantae; Streptophyta; Magnoliopsida; Rosales; Rosaceae.
CCCUCUUGUUUGUUUAUUUUGAUUCAUGUAUAUGUACAUAUUUGUAACUUAGCGGAGAUAUCAAUAAACAAGCUUUGCUUCAUUUCAACGUAUUGUGUACAAAUGACAUUAGGAAAUAUUAUGAGAGAAUGAUCUCUACUUAUAGAAGAGAGUUUCUAGUUUCAUUCUGACAUUGACACAUGUCGUGUUAUGAUUGGCUUCUGAUGUUGACACGUGUCGCGCUGUGAGUGGCCUCCUGGUUGAAGGGAAACUCUUCUGGGUCCUUGACGGUAUAACGUUGACCGGUGCUAAGUAGUUUCAGGAUUGGUCAAGUAUGGUACAAACAAUGCUCCCCUAAGUUCUCGAAUAAGGG